This 346-nucleotide ribosomal RNA is filed under the name Hyperaspidius mimus. RNAcentral describes it as "partial 12S ribosomal RNA". The record is from RNAcentral. Lineage: Eukaryota; Metazoa; Arthropoda; Insecta; Coleoptera; Coccinellidae.
UAAAAAUGUAAAUUUAAAUAUUAAAUGAUUAAUAGCUAUGUUCUUUAAAGUUAAAUAAUAUGGCGGUAUUUUAGUCUUUUCAGAGGAACCUGCCCUAUAAUUGAUAAUCCACGAUAAAAAAUACUUUUAUUAGAAAUUUAUAUAUCGUCGUUAAAAAUAUUUUUUUUGAAAUUAAAUAUUUAAGAUUUAAAAUUAAAAAAUAAAUCAGAUCAAGGUGUAGUUUAUAUAAAAGAAGAGGUGGGUUACAUUAAAAUUAUUUUUGGAUAUAAAAUUGAAAGUUUUAUUUAAAUUGGAUUUGAAAGUAAUUAAUUUUUAUUUAGAUUAAUGAUUAAGCUCUAAAAUAUGU